UCGAGCGAGCUUUUAGCAUGGG
RNAcentral lists this non-coding RNA (22 nucleotides) under Arabidopsis thaliana (thale cress). Lineage: Eukaryota; Viridiplantae; Streptophyta; Magnoliopsida; Brassicales; Brassicaceae. The record is from RNAcentral.